GGGCUUCGAAUUCAUCCCAGGAUGUGCCUUCUUUUUUGGAAGGUUGUUUGGCAUCGACUAUCUACCAAAGCCUUGCUGAGAGUCAGAGAGAUAAAUAUUCCGACUGCUUGCCCUUGCUGCAGGCUAGAGGAUGAGACCCGGGAGUAUACGCUCUUCCUAUGCCCCGAAGCAUGGCAAGUGUGGCGGCUGGCUACCCCCUUACCCCAUUCUAGUUGUUUCUUUAGAGCAUCCUGCUAGUUCUUCUUAGAGAUCCUGAGGUGGAGCAUGGAGUACGAGACCACCAGACUUACUGGCAC
RNAcentral lists this long non-coding RNA (296 nucleotides) under Elaeis guineensis (African oil palm). RNAcentral describes it as "long non-coding RNA (EGUI_LNC022628)". The record is from RNAcentral. Lineage: Eukaryota; Viridiplantae; Streptophyta; Magnoliopsida; Arecales; Arecaceae.